UACGUAGGUGGCAAGCGUUGUCCGGAUUUACUGGGCGUAAAGAGCGCGCAGGCGGCCGAGUAAGUCGAAUGUGAAGGCCCCCGGCUCAACUGGGGAAGGUCAUUCGAUACUGUUCGGCUUGAAGAUAGGAGAGGGAAGCGGAAUUUCAGGUGUAGUGGUGAAAUGCGUAGAUAUCUGAAGGAACACCAGUGGCGAAGGCGGCUUUCUGGCCUAUUCUUGACGCUGAGGCGCGAAAGCUAGGGGAGCGAACGGG
RNAcentral lists this ribosomal RNA (253 nucleotides) under uncultured bacterium. Its description in RNAcentral is "partial 16S ribosomal RNA". It matches the Rfam family "Bacterial small subunit ribosomal RNA", at positions 524 to 776 of the family's 1533-position model. The record is from RNAcentral.